Molecule: ribosomal RNA, 349 nt
Filed under: uncultured bacterium
Lineage: Bacteria
Description: partial 16S ribosomal RNA
Rfam family: Bacterial small subunit ribosomal RNA
Source: RNAcentral
CCUACGGGUGGCAGCAGUCGAGAAUCAUUCACAAUGGGGGAAACCCUGAUGGUGCGACGCCGCGUGGGGGAAUGAAGGUCUUCGGAUUGUAAACCCCUUUCAUGUGGGAGCAAAUUAAAAAGAUAGUACCACAAGAGGAAGAGACGGCUAACUCUGUGCCAGCACCCGCGGUAAUACAGAGGUCUCAUGCGUUGUUCGGAAUCACUGGGCGUAAAGCGUGCGUAGGCUGUUUGGUAAGUCGUGUGUGAAAGGCGCGGGCUCAAACCGCGGACUGCACAUGAUACUGCGAGGCUAGAGUGAUGGAGGGGGAAGCGGAAUGCUCGGUGUAGCAGUGAAAUGCGUAGAUAUC